UGGGGAAUAUUGCACAAUGGGGGAAACCCUGAUGCAGCGACGCCGCGUGGAGGAAGAAGGUCUUCGGAUUGUAAACUCCUGUUGUUGGGGAAGAUAAUGACGGUACCCAACAAGGAAGUGACGGCUAACUACGUGCCAGCAGCCGCGGUAAAACGUAGGUCACAAGCGUUGUCCGGAAUUACUGGGUGUAAAGGGAGCGCAGGCGGGAAGACAAGUUGGAAGUGAAAUCUAUGGGCUCAACCCAUAAACUGCUUUCAAAACUGUUUUUCUUGAGUAGUGCAGAGGUAGGCGGAAUUCCCGGUGUAGCGGUGGAGUGCGUAGAUAUCGGGAGGAACACCAGUGGCGAAGGCGGCCUACUGGGCACCAACUGACGCUGAGGCUCGAAAGUGUGGGUAGCAAACAGGAUUAGAUACCCUGGUAGUCCACACCGUAAACGAUGAUUACUAGGUGUUGGAGGAUUGACCCCUUCAGUGCCGCAGUUAACACAAUAAGUAAUCCACCUGGGGAGUACGACCGCAAGGUUGAAACUCAAAGGAAUUGACGGGGGCCCGCACAAGCAGUGGAGUAUGUGGUUUAAUUCGACGCAACGCGAAGAACCUUACCAAGUCUUGACAUCCCUUGACAGACAUAGAAAUAUGUAUUCUCUUCGGAGCAAGGAGACAGGUGGUGCAUGGUUGUCGUCAGCUCGUGUCGUGAGAUGUUGGGUUAAGUCCCGCAACGAGCGCAACCCUUAUGGUCAGUUACUACGCAAGAGGACUCUGGCCAGACUGCCGUUGACAAAACGGAGGAAGGUGGGGAUGACGUCAAAUCAUCAUGCCCUUUAUGACUUGGGCUACACACGUACUACAAUGGCGUUAAACAAAGAGAAGCAAGACCGCGAGGUGGAGCAAAACUCAGAAACAACGUCCCAGUUCGGACUGCAGGCUGCAACUCGCCUGCACGAAGUCGGAAUUGCUAGUAAUCGUGGAUCAGCAUGCCACGGUGAAUACGUUCCC
RNAcentral lists this ribosomal RNA (995 nucleotides) under uncultured bacterium. Its description in RNAcentral is "bacterial SSU rRNA". It matches the Rfam family "Bacterial small subunit ribosomal RNA", at positions 355 to 1375 of the family's 1533-position model. The record is from RNAcentral.